This 508-nucleotide ribosomal RNA is filed under the name uncultured bacterium. Its description in RNAcentral is "bacterial SSU rRNA". It matches the Rfam family "Bacterial small subunit ribosomal RNA", at positions 41 to 563 of the family's 1533-position model. The record is from RNAcentral.
GGCGUGCUUACACAUGCAAGNNNNAACGAGAACGGUACUAGCGUGCUAGUAUGUCAGCUAAGUGGCGGACGGGUGAGUAAUGUAUAGUUAAUUUGCCCCUUGGAGAGGGAUAGCCACUGGAAACGGUGAUUAAUACCUCAUACUCCUUCUCUCUUAAUGAGAGUUGGGAAAUGUUUUUUCGCCAAGGGAUAAGACUAUAUGGUAUCAGGUAGUUGGUGGGGUAAGAGCCUACCAAGCCAAUGACGCCUAGCUGGUCUGAGAGGAUGAUCAGCCACACUGGAACUGAGACACGGUCCAGACUCCUACGGGAGGCAGCAGUGGGGAAUAUUGCACAAUGGAGGAAACUCUGAUGCAGCAACGCCGCGUGGAGGAUGACGCAUUUCGGUGUGUAAACUCCUUUUAUAUGGGAAGAUAAUGACGGUACCAUAUGAAUAAGCACCGGCUAACUCCGUGCCAGCAGCCGCGGUAAUACGGAGGGGCAAGCGUUACUCGGAAUCNCUGGGCGUAA